Molecule: long non-coding RNA, 1110 nt
Filed under: Anolis carolinensis (green anole)
Lineage: Eukaryota; Metazoa; Chordata; Lepidosauria; Squamata; Anolidae
Description: lncRNA (ENSACAG00000042137.1)
Source: RNAcentral
AUGGCAUUCAUUGGCCUUGCAAAAGCAUUCGACACAGUGAAUCACAGCGCUCUCUGGACCAUCCUCCAAAAAAUCGGGUGCCCUGACAAAUUUGUGAACAUCCUGCAGCUCCUCCAUGAUGACAUGUUGGCAACAGUCUUGGACAGCAACGGCUCCCAAAGUGACCCAUUUAAGGUGGAAUCAGGUGUCAAGCAGGGAUGUGUUAUUGCCCCCACCUUGUUUUCCAUCUUCAUCACUAUGAUACUUCACCUUGUUGAUGGGAAGCUUCCCACCGGAGUGGAAAUCAUCUGUUGGACAGAUGGCAAGCUAUUUAACCUCAGCAGACUGAGAGCCAAAACCAAGGUCACCACAUCAGUUAUAGAACUCCAAUAUGCUGAUGACAACAUAGUCUGUGCGCAUUCAGAAGAAGACCUACAAGCCACUCUAAACACCUUCGCAGAAGCAUACGAGAAGCUCGGCCUCUCAUUGAACAUUGAGAAAACCAAAGUGCUCUUCAAACAGGCACCAGCCAAUCCUUCUGCAAAGCCAGGAAUACAGCUUAACGGUGUCACAUUAGAAAACGUUGACCAUUUCCGCUCCCUUGGCAGCCACCUCUUCACAAAAGUCAACAUCGACACUGAAAUACAACACUGCCUGAGCUCUGUGAGUGCAGCAUUUUUCCGCAUGAAGCAGAGAGUGUUUGAUGAUUGGGACAUCCGUAGAGAGACCCAGGCGCUUUUGUUUACAAAGCCAUUCCCCUCCCAACCCUGCUCUACGCCUGCGAAACGUGGUCUACAGAUAUCACACCAAACUCCUGGGAGCGUUUCCAUCAGCGUUGCCUUAGAAAAAUCCUGCAAAUCUCUUGGGAAGACAGGCGGACAAAUGUCAGCGUGCUGGAAGAAGCAAAGACCACCAGCAUUGAAGCGAUGCUCCCUACGCCAUCAACUCCGCUGGACUGGCCACGUUGUCCGAAUGCCUGAUCGCCGUCUCCCAAAGCAGUUGCUCCACUCCGAACUCAAGAAUGGGAAAUGGAAUGUUGGUGGGCAGGAAAAGAGAUUUAAAGAUGGGCUUAAAGCCAACCUUAAAAAAUGGUGGCAUAGACACUUUGAACUGGGAAGCCCUGGCCCUUGA